GACAUAGGUGGCAAACGUUAUCCGGAAUUAUUGGGCGUAAAGGGCGCGUAGGCGGCCUUCUAAGUCGAACGUGAAAUCCCUGGGCUCAACCCAGGAACUGCGUCCGAUACUGGAAGGCUUGAAUCCGGGAGAGGGAUGCGGAAUUCCAGGUGUAGCGGUGAAAUGCGUAGAUAUCUGGAGGAACACCGGUGGCGAAGGCGGCAUCCUGGACCGGCAUUGACGCUGAGGCGCGAAAGCCAGGGGAGCAAACGGG
This 253-nucleotide ribosomal RNA is filed under the name uncultured bacterium. RNAcentral describes it as "partial 16S ribosomal RNA". It matches the Rfam family "Bacterial small subunit ribosomal RNA", at positions 524 to 776 of the family's 1533-position model. The record is from RNAcentral.